Molecule: ribosomal RNA, 369 nt
Filed under: Balliopsis prieurii
Lineage: Eukaryota; Rhodophyta; Florideophyceae; Batrachospermales
Description: bacterial LSU rRNA
Rfam family: Bacterial large subunit ribosomal RNA
Source: RNAcentral
GCUUUACNGUAACUUGAAAUUGGUUUCCGGUUUNGUUUGCGCAGUAUAGGUGGGAGGCUAUGAUAAUACACUUGCGGGUUUGUUGGAGCCAUCAAUGAGAUACCACUCUAAUAAAACUAGAAUUCUAACCUUAUUGUCGUUAUCCGGCUAAGAGACAUUUUCAGGCUGGCAGUUUGACUGGGGCGGUCGCCUCCUAAAARGUAACGGAGGCGUGCAAAGGUUUCUUCAGGCUGGUCGGAAAUCAGUCGUAGAGUGCAAAGGCAUAAAGAAGCUUGACUGUAAGACCUACAAGUCGAACAGGGACGAAAGUCGGCCUUAGUGAUCCGACAGUUCCGAGUGGAAGGGCUGUCGCUCAACGGAUAAAAGUUA